CAUUAGAUAACUUAAAGUAAGUACUGGUCUCUUAAACCAUAAAAUAGUAUAGUUACGCCUACUUCUAAUGA
This 71-nucleotide transfer RNA is filed under the name Nitidulidae sp. BMNH 1274330. RNAcentral's name for it is "tRNA-Lys". The record is from RNAcentral. Lineage: Eukaryota; Metazoa; Arthropoda; Insecta; Coleoptera; Nitidulidae.